This 468-nucleotide ribosomal RNA is filed under the name uncultured bacterium. RNAcentral's name for it is "partial 16S ribosomal RNA". It matches the Rfam family "Bacterial small subunit ribosomal RNA", at positions 28 to 507 of the family's 1533-position model. The record is from RNAcentral.
GACGAACGCUGGCGGCGUGCUUAACACAUGCAAGUCGAACGGCAAGGCCCUGCUUUUGUGGGGUGCUCGAGUGGCGAACGGAUGAGUAACACGUGCGUCACCCGCCCUUGACUUUGGGAUAACUUCAGGACACUGGGUCUACUAACGCCUAGGAGCUCCUGCUGCGUGGUGGGGGUUGGAUAGUUUCGGCGGUUGGGGAUGGACUCGCGGCUUAUCAGCUUGUUGGUGGGGUAGUGGCUUACCCCGGCUGUGCCGGGUAGCCGGCCUGAGAGGGUGACCGGCCACAAUGGGCCUGAGGUACGGCCCAGACUGCUACGGGAGGCAGCAGGGGGGAGUAUUGCCCAAUGGGGGGAAGCCUGAUGCAGCAACGCCGCGUGCGGGAUGACGGCCUGGGGGGUGUAAACCGCUUUCGCCUGUGACGAAGCGUGAGUGACGGUAAUGGGUAAAGAAGCACCGGCUAACUACGUG